UGAUUUUACUGUAUAACGAUCAACCAGAAAAAACUUCAGACUGUGAAUACUUGGAUUCAACGUCAGUAAUCAGCGAACAGAUUGUUGGUUUUUGUUUGAAUUGCUUGAACGUCUUACUCUAUUUUAUAUACGCUUAUACUUCAGUCAAUGACUUAAUUUUUACUGUUACAUCAUGUCAUAUGCCGCUUUUUUCAUUUUACUUUUGAUGUUGUUAUAAGUUGCAUUUAUGGUCUAC
RNAcentral lists this unclassified non-coding RNA (235 nucleotides) under Hevea brasiliensis (rubber tree). Lineage: Eukaryota; Viridiplantae; Streptophyta; Magnoliopsida; Malpighiales; Euphorbiaceae. The record is from RNAcentral.